UGGCUCAGUUGGUAAAGCAUGGCACUUACAAUACUAGGGUUGUGGGUUUGAUUCCCAU
This is a non-coding RNA of Salmo salar (Atlantic salmon), 58 nucleotides long. The record is from Rfam. Lineage: Eukaryota; Metazoa; Chordata; Actinopteri; Salmoniformes; Salmonidae.